Molecule: long non-coding RNA, 417 nt
Organism: Oncorhynchus masou masou (cherry salmon)
Lineage: Eukaryota; Metazoa; Chordata; Actinopteri; Salmoniformes; Salmonidae
Exons: 3
Source: RefSeq, a predicted model, not a curated record
GCCCUGGCACUGUUGUUUAAUCCAGCGAGUGCACCACAGGGCAGACAUAGGAAGAUAUAGCGAGGCUUCAAGUAGACUACAGGAGAUAUACUCUAGUGACAAGGAGUCAGACAUGUUGGUCCUGUGUGUCAUCUCUGUCCUCAGCCUUCUCUCAGUGGGACUGGCAGCUCCUCUGUCCUGUGAGGAUCUACUGAGACCCCUAAAGAUGAACAGCACAAACCAUAUUUUGGGUAAGUGGAUUUCUAUCGCGGAGAGCACUGAGGUCCCUGGUGGCAGGGAGUAUGCUGCAAAAGAAUGGAUCACAGGCUGGCUUCAGAUCUCUCCUGGGCUCCAGAACAACACUGUCAAAGAAUUACAGAUGAUAAACAUUGGAGGCAAAUGCAUUAGCAUGACCAGUGAAAUGACCAUGGAAAACAA